GCGCACCGUUGAUGGGCCAGCCUCAGGGAACCGAAGGCCCGUGACCCUAGCGCCUAGCUUCUUCCCAGACACCCCCGUUUAGCUCUCUCCUGCGCCGCCGGCAGUGAACUGCUCCGCCGUGAGAGAACCGAAGGGAGGGGAGGGAGGCGCACCGCAGGUUCCCAACUCCCCCCCCCCCCUUUUUCCCUUUCUCCUGCUCCGCCAUGGGAGAACCGAAGGGAGGGGAAGGAGGCGCACCGCAGGUUCCCAAACACCCCCCCGGUUCCCUUCCUCCUACGCCGGCGGCGGUGAACCGCUCCCCCAUGGGAGAACCGAAGGGAGGGGAGGGAGGCGCACCGCAGGUUCCCAAACACACCCCCCCCCCCCCCCCCAUUUUCCUUUAUCCUGCGCCGGCGGCGGCGAACUGCUCGCCAUGGGAGACCUGAACAGGGGCUGCACCUUGCCUGGCAAAUCCGCGCCGGCGGACGGUUGUCGACGGUUGGUGAGUGGUCCUCCUACCCUUCGUCCCAGGCUGGACGGUUUGCGGUCUCCGACCGAACUCGUCGGCGUCCUCCGCCCCAACACGGAGUCGUUGGCCGACGCUGUACCUGUGGGCGCCUCCAUCAGCGGAGUCUCGACUCCUCCUCCUCCUCCUUCAGCAACCGUACGCAGCACAGCGGUGCGUCUAGUUGACUCUGACGGCUCUGCAACGCGACGCCAAUUUCCUCUCCGGACGGACAAUGCAUACAAACGCGGGCCAUCUGUCACUUUUCCUGAUCAACCGUUGAUCAGCAAUGCAAUCAGUAGCAUGUUGUCGAGCCCGUCGACAACGGCGCUCUACUAUUACCCUGCCGGAGGAGGUCCAUGCCAUGUCGUUCGUAAAACAGUAACCCCAUGCCAUGCCAUAUCGAUUGAUCAACCACAUUAAUAUAGGUGAGCAUAAUGUUCAGAUCGAGUACCCGUGGAUCUCACAACAGGGUACCAUAUUCCUCAUCUAAAAGUUCCUCAAGUUUUUCAUUGUGGAUUGGGUGAUAAAUCCAUCCUAAAUAUACGUGGGUUCUGAUUUCUGAUUUGUGGAACU
Molecule: long non-coding RNA, 1060 nt
Organism: Brachypodium distachyon (stiff brome)
Lineage: Eukaryota; Viridiplantae; Streptophyta; Magnoliopsida; Poales; Poaceae
Exons: 2
Source: RefSeq, a predicted model, not a curated record